CCUACGGGAGGCAGCAGUGAGGAAUAUUGGUCAAUGGACGAGAGUCUGAACCAGCCAAGUAGCGUGCAGGAUGACUGCCCUAUGGGUUGUAAACUUCUUUUAUAUGGGAAUAAAAUGUUCCACGUGUGGGAUUCUGUAUGUACCAUAUGAAUAAGGAUCGGCUAACUCCGUGCCAGCAGCCGCGGUAAUACGGAGGAUUCGAGCGUUAUCCGGAUUUAUUGGGUUUAAAGGGAGUGUAGGUGGUCUGAUAAGUCAGUUGUGAAAGUUUGAGGCUCAACCGUAAAAUUGCAGUUGAUACUGGCCGUCUAGAGAACAGUAGAGGUAGGCGGAAUGCGUGGUGUAGCGGUGAAAUGCUUAGAGAUCACGAAGAACUCCGAUUGCGAAGGCAGCUCACUGGACUGCAACUGACACUGAGGCACGAAAGUGUGGGUAUCAAACAGGAUUAGAUACCCCUGUAGUC
This 460-nucleotide ribosomal RNA is filed under the name uncultured bacterium. RNAcentral's name for it is "partial 16S ribosomal RNA". It matches the Rfam family "Bacterial small subunit ribosomal RNA", at positions 338 to 795 of the family's 1533-position model. The record is from RNAcentral.